AGAGUUUGAUCAUGGCUCAGGAUGAACGCUGGCGGCGUGCUUAACACAUGCAAGUCGAACGAUGAUGCCAGCUUGCUGGUGGAUUAGUGGCGAACGGGUGAGUAACACGUGAGUAACCUGCCCUUAACUCUGGGAUAAGCCUGGGAAACUGGGUCUAAUACCGGAUAUGACUCCUCAUCGCAUGGUGGGGGGUGGAAAGCUUUUUGUGGUUUUGGAUGGACUCGCGGCCUAUCAGCUUGUUGGUGAGGUAAUGGCUCACCAAGGCGACGACGGGUAGCCGGCCUGAGAGGGUGACCGGCCACACUGGGACCGAGACACGGCCCAGACUCCUACGGGAGGCAGCAGUGGGGAAUAUUGCACAAUGGGCGCAAGCCUGAUGCAGCGACGCCGCGUGAGGGAUGACGGCCUUCGGGUUGUAAACCUCUUUCAGUAGGGAAGAAGCGAAAGUGACGGUACCUGCAGAAGAAGCGCCGGCUAACUACGUGCCAGCAGCCGCGGUAAUACGUAGGGCGCAAGCGUUAUCCGGAAUUAUUGGGCGUAAAGAGCUCGUAGGCGGUUUGUCGCGUCUGCCGUGAAAGUCCGGGGCUCAACUCCGGAUCUGCGGUGGGUACGGGCAGACUAGAGUGAUGUAGGGGAGACUGGAAUUCCUGGUGUAGCGGUGAAAUGCGCAGAUAUCAGGAGGAACACCGAUGGCGAAGGCAGGUCUCUGGGCAUUAACUGACGCUGAGGAGCGAAAGCAUGGGGAGCGAACAGGAUUAGAUACCCUGGUAGUCCAUGCCGUAAACGUUGGGCACUAGGUGUGGGGGACAUUCCACGUUUUCCGCGCCGUAGCUAACGCAUUAAGUGCCCCGCCUGGGGAGUACGGCCGCAAGGCUAAAACUCAAAGGAAUUGACGG
This 896-nucleotide ribosomal RNA is filed under the name uncultured bacterium. RNAcentral's name for it is "bacterial SSU rRNA". It matches the Rfam family "Bacterial small subunit ribosomal RNA", at positions 8 to 916 of the family's 1533-position model. The record is from RNAcentral.